CCUACGGGUUGCACCAGUGGGGAAUAUUGGACAAUGGGCGAAAGCCUGAUCCAGCAAUGCCGCGUGAGUGAAGAAGGUCUUCGGAUUGUAAAGCACUUUCGACGGGGACGAUGAUGACGGUACCCGUAGAAGAAGCCCCGACUAACUUCGUGCCAGCAGCCGCGGUAAUACGAAGGGGGCUAGCGUUGCUCGGAAUGACUGGGCGUAAAGGGCGCGUAGGCGGUUUAUGCAGUCAGAUGUGAAAUCCCCGGGCUUAACCUGGGAACUGCAUUUGAGACGCAUAGACUAGAGGUCGAGAGAGGGUUGUGGAAUUCCCAG
Molecule: ribosomal RNA, 318 nt
Filed under: uncultured bacterium
Lineage: Bacteria
Description: bacterial SSU rRNA
Rfam family: Bacterial small subunit ribosomal RNA
Source: RNAcentral